Molecule: non-coding RNA, 48 nt
Submitted as: unclassified sequences
Source: Rfam
AACGCUGUAACAAUCGGGUUGCAGUAAGAGCCGAUAGGGGCUAUUCGU